This 253-nucleotide ribosomal RNA is filed under the name uncultured bacterium. Its description in RNAcentral is "partial 16S ribosomal RNA". It matches the Rfam family "Bacterial small subunit ribosomal RNA", at positions 524 to 776 of the family's 1533-position model. The record is from RNAcentral.
UACAGAGGGGGCAAGCGUUAUUCGGAAUUAUUGGGCGUAAAGGGCGCGUAGGCGGCCUGCUAAGUAGAGGGUGAAAUCCUGCGGCUCAACCGCAGGGCUGCCUUCUAAACUGUCAGGCUGGAGCACGGUAGAGGCAGAUGGAAUUCCCGGUGUAGCGGUGGAAUGCGUAGAGAUCGGGAAGAACACCAGUGGCGAAGGCGGUCUGCUGGGCCGUUGCUGACGCUGAGGCGCGACAGCGUGGGGAGCAAACAGG